GCCGGGCAUCGUCCGGUCGCCGUUUCCGGGGUCUCCGACGCCUCGGUGCGGCGGGCCGCCGAGCUGCUGCCCGACGUUCCGCUGGUCAGCCCGGCC
RNAcentral lists this transfer RNA (96 nucleotides) under Streptomyces albospinus. Its description in RNAcentral is "tRNA-Arg". Lineage: Bacteria; Bacillati; Actinomycetota; Actinomycetes; Kitasatosporales; Streptomycetaceae. The record is from RNAcentral.